UACGUAGGUGGCAAGCGUUGUCCGGAAUUAUUGGGCGUAAAGCGCGCGCAGGUGGUCCUUUAAGUCUGAUGUGAAAGCCCACGGCUCAACCGUGGAGGGUCAUUGGAAACUGGGGGACUUGAGUGCAGGAGAGAAGAGUGGAAUUCCACGUGUAGCGGUGAAAUGCGUAGAGAUGUGGAGGAACACCAGUGGCGAAGGCGGGUUGCUGGGCCAACACUGACGCUCAGGCACGAAAGCGUGGGGAGCAAACAGG
Molecule: ribosomal RNA, 253 nt
Filed under: uncultured bacterium
Lineage: Bacteria
Description: partial 16S ribosomal RNA
Rfam family: Bacterial small subunit ribosomal RNA
Source: RNAcentral